UACGUAGGGUCCGAGCGUUGUCCGGAAUUAUUGGGCGUAAAGGGCUCGUAGGCGGUCUGUUGCGUCGGGAGUGAAAACUUACAGCUUAACUGUGAGCGUGCUUUCGAUACGGGCAGACUUGAGGCAUUCAGGGGAGAACGGAAUUCCGUGGUGUAGCGGUGAAAUGCGCAGAUAUCAGGAGGAACGACCGGUGGCGAAGGCGGGUCUCUGGGCCGAUACUGACGCUGGAGGAGCGAAAGCGUGGGGAGCGAACAGG
This 256-nucleotide ribosomal RNA is filed under the name uncultured bacterium. RNAcentral's name for it is "partial 16S ribosomal RNA". It matches the Rfam family "Bacterial small subunit ribosomal RNA", at positions 524 to 776 of the family's 1533-position model. The record is from RNAcentral.